RNAcentral lists this ribosomal RNA (492 nucleotides) under uncultured bacterium. Its description in RNAcentral is "partial 16S ribosomal RNA". It matches the Rfam family "Bacterial small subunit ribosomal RNA", at positions 29 to 507 of the family's 1533-position model. The record is from RNAcentral.
AGUGAACGCUGGCGGUAGGCCUAACACAUGCAAGUCGAACGGCAGCACAGUAAGAGCUUGCUCUUACGGGUGGCGAGUGGCGGACGGGUGAGGAAUACAUCGGAAUCUACUUUUUCGUGGGGGAUAACGUAGGGAAACUUACGCUAAUACCCCAUACGACCUACGGGUAAAAGCAGGGGAUCUUCGGACCUUGCGCGAUUGAAUGAGCCGAUGUCGGAUUAGCUAGUUGGCGGGGUAAAGGCCCACCAAGGCGACGAUCCGUAGCUGGUCUGAGAGGAUGAUCAGCCACACUGGAACUGAGACACGGUCCAGACUCCUACGGGAGGCCGCAGUGGGGACUAUUGGACAAUGGGCGCAAGCCUGAUCCAGCCAUACCGCGUGGGUGAAGAAGGCCUUCGGGUUGUAAAGCCCUUUUGUUGGGAAAGAAAAGCAGCAGGUUAAUACCCCGCUGUUCUGACGGUACCCAAAGAAUAAGCACCGGCUAACUUCGUG